This 443-nucleotide long non-coding RNA is filed under the name Cyanistes caeruleus (blue tit). RNAcentral describes it as "lncRNA (ENSCCEG00000010784.1)". Lineage: Eukaryota; Metazoa; Chordata; Aves; Passeriformes; Paridae. The record is from RNAcentral.
UGUGUCAGUUUGCAGGAAGUGACCCAGCUCCGCUGUGAACUUCAGCAGGGGAGAGGUGUGCUGUGGCUGCAGGGAGGUCAUGCUCUUCCAGCCAGCCAGGCUGGAGUCACCUUGAGUCCACCUCCAUCACAGGACAAAAAGGAAGGUUGUGCAAGGCUGGAGUCAGACAGUCAGUGUUUAUCAUCAUGGCUAUGCCCAUCCGAAGGCUUUCCAUCAUCCUGUGAAACUGGAACUAAAUGUGCUGAAGGAGUCCAAAACACUGUCAUGGACACGUAACUGGUGCCUUAGAGCAUGAAAGGGAGGGCAGGCAUGAUAUAACCCGAGGUGCUUGAGCGUGGUCCCUGGAGUAAAGAGCUGACAAAAGGUACCAGCACACAGCCCAGGAGAAAGACCUCUGGGGCAGUUUAAAACCAAAAUGAGGGAAUGAGAAAGCAGUUAGUCAG